UACGUAGGUGACAAGCGUUGUCCGGAUUUACUGGGCGUAAAGAGCGCGCAGGCGGUCGUUCAAGUCGAGUGUGAAAGCCCCCGGCUCAACUGGGGAGGGUCACUCGAUACUGAUCGACUCGAAGGCAGGAGAGGGAAGUGGAAUUCCCGGUGUAGUGGUGAAAUGCGUAGAUAUCGGGGGGAACACCAGUGGCGAAGGCGACUUCCUGGCCUGUUCUUGACGCUGAGGCGCGAAAGCUAGGGGAGCAAACGGG
RNAcentral lists this ribosomal RNA (253 nucleotides) under uncultured bacterium. RNAcentral describes it as "partial 16S ribosomal RNA". It matches the Rfam family "Bacterial small subunit ribosomal RNA", at positions 524 to 776 of the family's 1533-position model. The record is from RNAcentral.